UGAGUAACACGUAUCCAACCUGCCGUCUACUCUUGGCCAGCCUUCUGAAAGGAAGAUUAAUCCAGGAUGGCAUCAUGAGUUCACAUGUCCGCAUGAUUAAAGGUAUUUUCCGGUAGACGAUGGGGAUGCGUUCCAUUAGAUAGUAGGCGGGGUAACGGCCCACCUAGUCAACGAUGGAUAGGGGUUCUGAGAGGAAGUUCCCCCACAUUGGAACUGAGACACGGUCCAA
RNAcentral lists this ribosomal RNA (229 nucleotides) under uncultured bacterium. RNAcentral's name for it is "partial 16S ribosomal RNA". It matches the Rfam family "Bacterial small subunit ribosomal RNA", at positions 107 to 334 of the family's 1533-position model. The record is from RNAcentral.